This 240-nucleotide unclassified non-coding RNA is filed under the name soil metagenome. RNAcentral's name for it is "partial contains 5.8S ribosomal RNA, internal transcribed spacer 2, and large subunit ribosomal RNA". The record is from RNAcentral.
AACAUCGCGCACCUGCGGGAACCUGCGGAGGGAUCAUUAACAAAGUCGAAAGUCGGUCGACCGUGCUGGCGGAGACGCAAGUGCACGUCGGUCGCAAACCAAUCCACACACCGUGAACGUACGGCCUUUCGGGUUUCGCGACCCGGGGGCAAACCAUUUUUACCCACUCUGUUCGUAAAGGAAUGUCCAUUGCCUACGCGCAAAACUAUACAACUUUUAACAACGGAUCUCAGAUCGGAA